AUGGACGCCGACGACCCCGCCGCCACGCCCUCCGCACCGCCCACCUCCGAAGCCGACUUCUUCGACGUCUCCGAUGCCCUCCCCACUCCCCCGGGCAAGGCCAAGCCCGAUUCCGGUUCCGAUUCCGAUUCCUCCGAGGCCACCAGCGCGCCCCGUUCUCCCCCUCCCCUCGAGGAGGAGGUGGACCAGAAGGACGCGGAGCCGGCGGCCCCCGAGGCGAAUGUGGACGAGAAGGAUUCGGAGCCGGCAGCCCCCGAGGCGAAUGUGGACGAGAAGGAUUCGGAGCCGCCGGCCCCCGAGGCGGAGGUGGACGAGAAGGGUGCGGAGUCGGCGGCCCCCGAGGCGGAGGUGGACGAGAAGGAUGCGGAGUCGGCGGUCCCCGAGGAGGAAGUGGACGAGAAGGAUGCGGAGUCAGAGGCCGCGGCGCCGGAUUACAGGCCGAUGGCGACGGCGCCGCCGGCCUUCCUCGAGUCCUUCGCCGUGUUCGUCAUCAAAGCCGUGGUGUUCCAGGUCAGCGCGCUCGUCGCCUGCCUCACGUUCCCCUUCCGGCUGCUGCAAUGGUGGUUCCUCUUCGUGACCGACCCGCUCGGCUCGGCGCAGCGGGCGAGGGAUUGGGCUCUCGGGGUGGCGGGGCAGGCCACCGGCGCCGUGGGCGCGUGGCUCGGAGCGGGGGACGGGGUUCCGCGCGUGGUGGCGAGGCUGCUCUGGGGGGCGCUCUGGGCCAUGUACGUCUGCGUGCUUCUGUGCAUGAUGCUCGCUAUGGCGUUCACGGCAGGGGGGGUCUUGGUGGGGAAAGUGGUGGAGGAGCCCGUUCAGGUGACAGAGAACCUGAAUUUCGAUUACACCAAGCCGAGCCCUGUGGCAUUUGUGCCGGUGGGGCGGUUGGUGCCGCCGCAACAGCGGAUGCAGCUCGAGGUGUUGCUGACGCUGCCCGAGUCGGAUUACAACAGGAGGCUUGGGGUUUUCCAGGUGAGGGCAGAGCUUCUAUCUGCAGAUGGGAAAGUGGUCACGGCUUCGAGUCAACCAUGCAUGCUAAAGUUCAAGAGCGUCCACAUGCAUUUCAUAGAAACCUUUUUCCAAAGUGUUUCUCUUUUGUCCGGCUAUUCAUCUGAAUCUCAGGUUAUCAAACUAAAAAUGACGGGCAUUAAGGAGGCUUUCAAGCCAAUAACAGGAGUAAGGAUGGUGCUCGAGCAACGAGCCGAGUUUGCAACUGGUGCAGGCAUCCCAGAGAUCUAUGACGCGUCGAUAAAGCUGGAGGCCGAGCUCCCUCUGCUCAAGAGAGUACUCUGGCAUUGGAGAUGGACCAUGUUUGUGUGGAGCAGCAUGGCGGUCUUUGUUUUCGAACUGUUGCUCGCCGUCGUUUGUUGUAGACCCUGUAUAUUUCCCAGAAGUUGA
This 1395-nucleotide ribosomal RNA is filed under the name Triticum aestivum (bread wheat). RNAcentral describes it as "partial small subunit ribosomal RNA". The record is from RNAcentral. Lineage: Eukaryota; Viridiplantae; Streptophyta; Magnoliopsida; Poales; Poaceae.